RNAcentral lists this ribosomal RNA (253 nucleotides) under uncultured bacterium. RNAcentral describes it as "partial 16S ribosomal RNA". It matches the Rfam family "Bacterial small subunit ribosomal RNA", at positions 524 to 776 of the family's 1533-position model. The record is from RNAcentral.
UACGUAGGGUGCAAGCGUUGUCCGGAAUUAUUGGGCGUAAAGAGCUCGUAGGCGGUCUGUUGCGUCGGCUGUGAAAACCCGGGGCUCAACUCCGGGCCUGCAGCCGAUACGGGCAGACUAGAGUUCGGCAGGGGAGACUGGAAUUCCUGGUGUAGCGGUGAAAUGCGCAGAUAUCAGGAGGAACACCGGUGGUGUAGACGGCUUUCUGGACAAUCACUGACGCUGAGGUACGAAAGCGUGGGUAGCAAACAGG